RNAcentral lists this ribosomal RNA (292 nucleotides) under uncultured bacterium. Its description in RNAcentral is "partial 16S ribosomal RNA". It matches the Rfam family "Bacterial small subunit ribosomal RNA", at positions 505 to 796 of the family's 1533-position model. The record is from RNAcentral.
GUGCCAGCCGCCGCGGUAAGACAGAGGUGCCAAGCGUUAGGCGGAAUCACUGGGCUUAAAGCGUGUGUAGGUGGAUGCCUAAGUACCUUGUGAAAUCCCACGGCUCAACCGUGGAACUGCUUGGUAUACUGGGUGUCUUGAGCCAACCAGGGGCAGCCGGAACAAACGGUGGAGCGGUGAAAUGCGUAGAUAUCGUUUGGAACGCCAACGGCGAAAGCAGGCUGCUGGAGUUGUGCUGACACUGAGACACGAAAGCCAGGGGAGCAAACGGGAUUAGAAACCCUGGUAGUCC